AGGGGAAUGGUCAUCCAUAAGAUUUCAGACUUGCAGUUUCCCGUCACUCGUUUGCCACCCAUUUUCAUCCGGAGGAGUAAUAUCCAUUUGUGGUUGUAAACAGAAAGGCCAAAGCGCGGCUUGGUACAAAAAUGUUGUGAUGAUUGUUAAUCUUCAGUUAAGGCUUUAUGCUCAAGAUCAUGUUUUACAGUUCAAGAAAGAAUAUUUUUCAGUG
Long non-coding RNA from Xenia sp. Carnegie-2017, 214 nucleotides. RefSeq lists it as uncharacterized. NCBI's taxonomy places the organism in Eukaryota, Metazoa, Cnidaria, Anthozoa, Malacalcyonacea, Xeniidae. The record is from RefSeq and is a predicted model, not a curated record. The transcript is spliced from 2 exons.